UUUACAUGUAUUGGACUAUCACUAUGGGAUGUAGUGAGUUUUCAUUUGCCUAUCAACUCCUCUUUGAAGCAUGGACUCUUCCAUGACACUACUGUUUGACGCAAAGAGAUAUUUUCUACAAAAGAGGAUACCAGACUGCGAGUAGAAAUGGUAUCGAUCCAGACAGAUAGAUCUACUGCAUGUGCAGGUGUCACCUGGAGCACUCUGUCACCCUGUGGGAAAUGGGACUUGGGAACCAGUGCUAGAAAAUGCUGACACUCUGGCUGCUGCUCUUGCCCUGAUU
Molecule: long non-coding RNA, 283 nt
Organism: Lagenorhynchus albirostris (white-beaked dolphin)
Lineage: Eukaryota; Metazoa; Chordata; Mammalia; Artiodactyla; Delphinidae
Exons: 3
Source: RefSeq, a predicted model, not a curated record